RNAcentral lists this ribosomal RNA (497 nucleotides) under uncultured bacterium. Its description in RNAcentral is "partial 16S ribosomal RNA". It matches the Rfam family "Bacterial small subunit ribosomal RNA", at positions 28 to 507 of the family's 1533-position model. The record is from RNAcentral.
GACGAACGCUGGCGGCGUGCCUAAUACAUGCAAGUAGAACGCUGAAGAGAGGAGCUUGCUCUUCUUGGAUGAGUUGCGAACGGGUGAGUAACGCGUAGGUAACCUGCCUUGUAGCGGGGGAUAACUAUUGGAAACGAUAGCUAAUACCGCAUAACAAUGGAUGACACAUUUCAUUUAUUUGAAAGGGGCAAUUGCUCCACUACAAGAUGGACCUGCGUUGUAUUAGCUAGUAGGUGAGGUAAUGGCUCACCUAGGCGACGAUACAUAGCCGACCUGAGAGGGUGAUCGGCCACACUGGGACUGAGACACGGCCCAGACUCCUACGGGAGGCAGCAGUAGGGAAUCUUCGGCAAUGGGGGCAACCCUGACCGAGCAACGCCGCGUGAGUGAAGAAGGUUUUCGGAUCGUAAAGCUCUGUUGUAAGUCAAGAACGGGUGUGAGAGUGGAAAGUUCACACUGUGACGGUAGCUUACCAGAAAGGGACGGCUAACUACGUG